This 301-nucleotide ribosomal RNA is filed under the name uncultured bacterium. RNAcentral describes it as "partial 16S ribosomal RNA". It matches the Rfam family "Bacterial small subunit ribosomal RNA", at positions 509 to 807 of the family's 1533-position model. The record is from RNAcentral.
CAGCAGCCGCGGUAAUACGAGGGGGGCAAGCGUUGUUCGGAUUUAUUGGGCGUAAAGGGUGCGUAGGCGGUUUGGCAAGUCUUGUGUGAAAUCUUCGGGCUCAACCCGAAGCCUGCACGAGAAACUACCGGACUUGAGUAUUGGAGAGGUGAGUGGAAUUUCCGGUGUAGCGGUGAAAUGCGUAGAUAUCGGAAGGAACACCUGUGGCGAAAGCGGCUCACUGGACAAUAACUGACGCUGAUGCACGAAAGCUAGGGGAGCAGACAGGAUUAGAUACCCGCGUAGUCCCUGUCUCUUAUAC